CGAGUCGGUCGGACGGUCGCGUCGGGAGGCCUCGUGCCUCCUGCCGAGGAACGUCCGGGCUCCGAAGGGCAAGGUGGUGGGUAACGCCCACCCGGGGUGACCCGCGGGACAGUGCCACAGAGAACAGACCGCCGCGUCGGGAAGGGCUCCGGCCCCGACCGGUGCGGUAAGGGUGAAACGGUGGUGUAAGAGACCACCAGCGGACCGGGUGACCGGUCCGGCUCGGUAAACCCCACCUGGAGCAAGGUCAGACAGACUGUGUCUGAGGGCUGCCCGCCCGAUUCUCCACGGAGAAGCACAGUCGGGUAGACCGCUCGAGCCCUGCGGCGACGCAGGGCCUAGAUGGAUGACCGUCGCCCGCGCGAGGGUGACCUCGCGCGGGAACAGAACCCGGCGUACAGACCGGCUCGUCCG
Non-coding RNA from Cellulosimicrobium sp. MM, 414 nucleotides. It matches the Rfam family "Bacterial RNase P class A". From Rfam's summary of the family: Ribonuclease P (RNase P) is a ubiquitous endoribonuclease, found in archaea, bacteria and eukarya as well as chloroplasts and mitochondria. Its best characterised activity is the generation of mature 5'-ends of tRNAs by cleaving the 5'-leader elements of precursor-tRNAs. The record is from Rfam. NCBI's taxonomy places the organism in Bacteria, Bacillati, Actinomycetota, Actinomycetes, Micrococcales, Promicromonosporaceae.